This 279-nucleotide ribosomal RNA is filed under the name uncultured bacterium. RNAcentral's name for it is "partial 16S ribosomal RNA". It matches the Rfam family "Bacterial small subunit ribosomal RNA", at positions 498 to 773 of the family's 1533-position model. The record is from RNAcentral.
UCUCUAUGCGGUGCCAGCAGCCGCGGUAAUACGUAGGUGGCGAGCGUUGUCCGGAUUUACUGGGUGUAAAGGGCGCGUAGGCGGGGAUGCAAGUCAGGUGUGAAAUCUAUGGGCUCAACCCAUAAACUGCACUUGAAACUGUAUCUCUUGAGUGAUGGAGAGGCAGGCGGAAUUCCUAGUGUAGCGGUGAAAUGCGUAGAUAUUAGGAGGAACACCAGUGGCGAAGGCGGCCUGCUGGACAUUAACUGACGCUGAGGCGCGAAAGCGUGGGGGGCAAAC